GACGAACGCUGGCGGCGUGCCUAACACAUGCAAGUCGAGCGGUUCUUAAGCUGUAGUUUACUAUAGCUUAAGAAUAGCGGCGAACGGGUGAGUAACACGUGGGCAACCUGUCCGAAAGAUCGGGAUAACAGUCCGAAAGGGCUGCUAAUACCGAAUACGCUUACCGGGUCGCAUGAUCCGGUAAGGAAAGGUCGGCAACUUCCGCUUUCGGGUGGGCCCGCGUCCCAUUAGCUAGUUGGUAGGGUAACGGCCUACCAAGGCAACGAUGGGUAGCUGGUCUGAGAGGAUGGUCAGCCACACUGGGACUGAGACACGGCCCAGACUCCUACGGGAGGCAGCAGUGGGGAAUCUUGCGCAAUGGGCGAAAGCCUGACGCAGCGACGCCGCGUGAGCGAGGAAGGCCUUCGGGUCGUAAAGCUCUGUCAGAGGGGACGAUAAUGACGGUACCCUCAGAGGAAGCCCCGGCUAACUACGUG
Molecule: ribosomal RNA, 476 nt
Filed under: uncultured organism
Description: bacterial SSU rRNA
Rfam family: Bacterial small subunit ribosomal RNA
Source: RNAcentral